GAUGAACGCUGGCGGCGUGCCUAACACAUGCAAGUCGAGCGAAUAGACGAGGCUUUUGCUCGGCUGACGCGAGCGGCGGACGGGUGAGUCACAGGAGUAUACCUGGCCUAUAAGACUGGGAUCAGUACGGGAAAGCGGAUCCAACAUCGGAUAAGAUAGUGAACCGCAGGGUUCUUUGGAGAAAGACGGAUUUGCUGUCACUAGUAGAGGUACCCGGGCCGGUUUAGCUAGUUGGUAGGGUAACGGCCUACCAAGGCGAGGAUGCGUAGCCGAUCUGAGAGGAUGAUCGGCCACACUGGAACUGAGACACGGUCCAGACUCCUACGGGAGGCAGCAGUAGGGAAUCUUCGGCAAAGGGCGAAAGCCUGACGCAGCCACGCCGCGUGUGUGAAGAAGGUCUUCGGAUCGUAAAGCUCUGUUAGUUGGGAAGAACAGCUGUGUAAGUAAAUAUGGACGUCUUGACGGUACCUAAUCAAAAAGCACCGGCUAACUACGUG
This 497-nucleotide ribosomal RNA is filed under the name uncultured bacterium. RNAcentral's name for it is "partial 16S ribosomal RNA". It matches the Rfam family "Bacterial small subunit ribosomal RNA", at positions 28 to 507 of the family's 1533-position model. The record is from RNAcentral.